UCCAGCCAGGCCAAACAUCUCCAACCUCACUUCUUUUGAGUUUUACAACCAUUACCAAGGCUUGGGUGCGACAAAGUUCCUUAAGGGUUCGUUUGAACCCCUGGCCAAUACCAAGCAUCCGAAGUAUCAUUAUUAGACAAGUGCAAAUGUGGAAGUGUCAUCCUUGUGCAUCAAAGUUCAAUGGGCGCUCAAGGGCUCUUAAGGCAAUGCUUACACUAAGGGGCAGAACCUAGUGUUCUAAGAGUAGUGAGGUUGUGAUAGGAAUGAGAGAGUUUAAAACAGAAUUUAAGAAAACAGGAGAAAGAUUUGAGAGACAGUUCGAGAAAAAUAGUUUAAGAGAGUUGAAAGGAGUUCUUUUAAAAUCAUUGGUACUAACCAGUUUAAAACAGAGCAUCAUACAAACAUGGGAAAAUGGGAAGGGAACAGAUAAGUACAGGGACCUACUCACACACAGACAAACAUCGUGAAGGCAGGUAAUCAGACACAGUUGUAGAACAAUAGGGAUUCAGUUUUUACUGCACCAAACCCUAAUACACUUAACCUUAGGAAGAGGUUUUAGGCUAAUCAAGUAGCCAAGUAACCCUGGACACAUGGUAGUAAUGAACAAGGAAAAGUAAACAUUCACUGAGACAGGGAAGGGGUAAGGGGAACAUGCUCAUCUAAGCUAAGUAGGCUAGUAAGUGCAUACUAGUGACAAUAAGAAUAGCAAAACCUCAGAUAAAAGCACACAAGGAACAAGAUGAAGUGCAGGAUUAACAGAAGCAUAUUGUUUUGGGGGCUGUAUACUAAAUAGAUAACAUACCAAUUUUGCAGACAAACAGAACAAAAAGAGCAAUGAGCAAGAGUGCACAGAUAGAGCAAAGUGAGCAGAGAGUGUGAGCAGCAGAGAGAAUAGCAGUGUGCAACACAUUGUGAGAAUGGCAGUGUGCAACAAAGAGAGCAGCAGGCAAACCCAAGUAAGCAAUGCAAUAGAAUCCAGUAGAAGUAAACAGCCCAAGUUUACUCAAUCUUGGCUUUUCAGCCGAUUGAGUGUUCUAAUAAAACAAUGAGAGAGUAUAGAAAUAGCAGAGAAAGAGAGAAUUCAGAGAGUUUUUAAAUUUUGAGAGAUAUGCAGUAUAUGUUGGUUGUUUUUUUUAAAAGAGAAUGGGGAGGAGCAUUUAUAGUACUGGAAAUCGAGUACAUAAAAAAGUAGCCAUCUUUAACUAAGAGACUAGUAUCAAUCAAGAAUCCAAUUAGUAUCAGGACACCCCUUUAACUAAGGAGUCAAAGACAAACGUUAACAAGCAUUGAUUUCAAAAGGAAAGCAAUCAAUUAACUACAUUUACCCUAGUAAGAGUAGCAAGCAUGUAAUAUACAAUAAGGGUCAGAUACAUAGUAGAUUAAGUUAGGGAAAAUAUACUGAAGGUUGUUCAUGCACAAAUAUGGUAAGGAAAAUAUAAGCUAGUUUUACCAAUUGGUCGAAGAAUCUCGGGCAAGACCUAAAAAUCAGAGAGAAUUGUUUCUAAGUAAGGAAAUCAUGCCCAAAUAAAGAAAUAAUUCAAAGAAAAUCAGUAAGAAAAUCUAAGGAAAAUUAUAUACAAAUCAGAGAUUCGCAUGGACAUUCAAAAUCAGCACAAUACUGCACAAAUAAUGAACACUUAGGCCUAUAAAGAAUAAUAGACAUGGAACUCUGAGAACCUUAAGCAGGUAAACAAAGGGUCGAAACCCUAGCCAGAAAACUAAAGCAUGGAACUAAAAUUAACAAGGAAACCAAAUGCUCGUAACACGAAAAAAUACAAACAAACACAUAAUACUCCAGAAAAGUAGAAGAAGUGAUUUUGACAAAAGGGUCAGAAACCCUAACUUUAAAAAAGUGGAGAAACUUAAGAUAAUCAGAGAUUGAGUGAAAAUUAGAGUAGAAAACAAAGAAUCAAACUGAAAAUUAUUUUAAAAGAGCAAAACUUAAAGAGAUUUUGAGUAGAAAAAUUAGGGUUUGCAGACGAGUUAAAGAAAGGCGGAACCUGGACGUGAAACUCAUCACUAACACAAUAUAAAAAAUGAUCGUGUGAAAACAACGGGGAGAGGCCGGCAAAGACUCAGGAACGCUUUAAUCGACCGUCUUCUAUGGCGGAAGCUUCUGGGCUUCGAGUUUGAAAGAGAAACAACGAGAUACAGUACCAUGGUGAGUGGUGGUCGAGAGGAGUGAAGGUGGAGGUGGCCGGAACGACAGUGGAAGCCAUCGGAGAAGAGAGAGGAUCGGAGGUUCUAGAGAGAACUUCAGAGACAAGGGUUUAGAGAGAGAGUGAGAGAUGGGAGUUAC
Molecule: long non-coding RNA, 2299 nt
Filed under: Nicotiana benthamiana
Lineage: Eukaryota; Viridiplantae; Streptophyta; Magnoliopsida; Solanales; Solanaceae
Description: long non-coding RNA (NBEN_LNC014619)
Source: RNAcentral